This 482-nucleotide ribosomal RNA is filed under the name uncultured bacterium. RNAcentral's name for it is "partial 16S ribosomal RNA". It matches the Rfam family "Bacterial small subunit ribosomal RNA", at positions 29 to 507 of the family's 1533-position model. The record is from RNAcentral.
AUUGAACGCUGGCGGCAUGCCUUACACAUGCAAGUCGAACGGUAACGGGCCUUCGGGUGCCGACGAGUGGCGGACGGGCGAGUAAUACAUCGGAACGUGCCCGAUCGUGGGGGAUAACGAGGCUAAAGCUUUGCUAAUACCGCAUACGAUCUACGGAUGAAAGCAGGGGACCGCAAGGCCUUGCGCGGACGGAGCGGCCGAUGGCCGAGUAGGUAGUGUGCGGGAUAAAAGCUUACGAAGCCGACGAUCUGUAGCUGGUGGGAGAGGAUGAUCAGCCACACUGGGACUGAGACACGGACCAGACGCCUGCGGGAGGCAGCAGUGGGGAAUUGUGGACAAUGGUGGCAAGCCUGGUCCAGCCAUGCCGCGUGCAGGAUGAAGGCCUUCGGGUUGUAAUCUGGUUUUGUACGGAACGAAAAGCCUUCUUUUAAUACAGGAGGGUCAUGACGGUACCGUAAGAAUAAGCACCGGCUAACUACGUG